GCUGAUGGUGGAGCCCUAUACAGGGGUCGGUCAGCCUCACAACCCUCAGAUCAUGAUCUGAGCAGAAACCAAGAGUGGGGCACUUAACCGACCGUACCACCCAGGUGCCCCUGGGAGUUAUUAUUUUUGGUCAAAUUAUAAUUUUGAUCAAACUGUCAGUUUACCAACUGUUUCCUUCCGGUGCACCCAGGCCCUUGUUUCCUCACCUGCUGGCCUCCCCCAUCGCUGGUGUCCUGUGUGCUGUGUUGCCAGCCAGCCCAAGCAUCUCCCUCGUCUCCCGUGUUUCUAGAACAUCUGCCCUGCUGAUCUCUAGUUUUCGAUGAACUCUACCAUCCGCUUUCUGCCCUCCUGCCCUGCGGCCUGCUGAACGCUGCUCUCCAUCCUGGACUAUCCUCCCUGCCCCUAUCUUCCACCCCAAGACAAGCCUCUUAUCUUGUCCCUCUUCCGAGUCCCCACAAUUUAAUUAUCCUGCCUGCUCGUUGCAUAGCCCAGGCUAUACUCCUCGAUCCCAUGAAGACGCAGAUUCUCAGUUUGUAAAAUAAAGGUCAUAUCAGUUAAUUUUGACAGGAGUGGAAGAAAGAAUGAAGUUUCUAAUACACUCGGCAAUGGGAAAGAGGGAAAGAAGAUUUCUUUGACCUCCUCAACAACGGAGGUGAUCACGUCUGUGGUCUAUAAGCCAAAAAGCUGUCUGUAAAUGUGUGUUGUCAUGAUUGGGACAUGCACAGAACUCUGGUCAGAAGUAAACCAGGCAUGUCUGGCCAAUUAGGGAGGCUUGGGAGACAGCACAUCCACUCGGAGGGUCCUGAGAACUCCAUAUCUCGGACUCAGGGUUCCUGUGCACCCUCCCAUGCCUCGAUCGGGAUGGAGAGACCCAGCCCAGACUCUGUGUUUGUUUUCAGGGCCCUUCCCCUGCUCAGAGCUUGGUAGAGAGCCAGAGACUAUCAGAGGCCCUCUGUAGGGUCAUUUUCUUUCUGAAAUGUUCAAUGAACAUCCUGUGUCAUCAAUGACUUCCACUCUCCUUGUCUAGGAACUACAUUUUACAUCGGCCUGAGAGCUUAGCCCAAGACUCCUUUUCCUCUUGGUGCCGCUGAGAGAGAACAGUCUCCAAUAAGGGGUGGCCGGCUGUGCCGCUGGCCAACUGUGCCCAUGACAAAGUCAUUUCACCUCAUGAAGGGUCAUCUGGAAAAGGGAUAACGCCCCUGACCUUGAACAACACAGCUUGCUUCACUGGAAGAACGAACACAGCCUCUAAUACAUACAACCCACAAGAGAGUCAACUGUGGCAUCCGAAGACUUGUCCAAAGACAUUGCUGCUUCUAGGAGCCUAUGGUCAACCAGGUAGCAUUUCAGCCUAGCAGAAGGAAAAGCAGGUAGGAAACAUGAACCAGACAUACUGAAGACUGCUAGAGGUAGGUAACAUAACUAGGAAGAAAUGCUCAGGGCUCGAACAAGGAUUUGUACAACUCUAGGGAACACACCCUUCCCAGAGGCAGGAGGAUGUGCAAGGACUGGGAGGCAGUCACACUGAAUUCUCAGUAGAAGGAACUUUGGUCUAGACACACAGGCAAUGACUCAGCCCUGCAGGAGAUUAGGAUCUCAUUGGAGAGAGACAAGGUAGAUGUGGGGCUCUCUGCACCCCCAGUCUGUGGCAGGAGGUGGGUAGACCAGAUUGUAGGAGACAGCCCUCUUCCCUGGGAGGGUGGGACAUCAGAGAUCUGGUGAACAGAUGAAAUAGAUGUGAACAGAUUUAUUUGUCCAGGGCCUGGGUGAAUUUUGAGAAGAAAACCCAAGCUGGGCCCGUGAUGGUCUGUGUACCCGUCAGGGCAGCCCACCAGCCGGCCAGCCAGCUGUUCUCUCCAGUCUCCUUCUUCUUACUCUCUCCUUUUCUUAUUUGCCAGUCUGUUAUCUAUUUGAAUGCAACUAUAGGACCAUGAAGCUACCAUAUGAAUAAGCAAGCCUGUGUGAUGUCUUAGUCUGUCCUCCUGUCAGAAGAGGAAGGGAGCCCUCCAGGAUCUCUUUCAUAAGGACAUCAAGCCUGUUCAUGGGGGCUCGCACUCUCAUGACCUCCUCACAUCCCGGGGGGCCCACCUCCUAAUAAUGUCACUGAGAAUGGGAUUCAACAUGUGAAUCUCGGGAGGACACAAGCAUUCCAUCUAUAGCACCUGGUAUUUUCCAGGCUAUGUUAGAAGGAGCAAACCCUGUAGAAAUCAUUUGGAUAUCACUGAAAUCCCAUUGAGUGCCCAGAGUGAAAACUGAGACAGACCGUGAGCACAGAAUGAGAGUGACCUGCCACUGGAGAUGAGGGCCUGGAAAUGAGGAAGCACAUCUUCCCAUCCCACGUCCUACAAAACCGGCACCAACAAGGAAGCCAAGAGAGGCAGAUUUCUACAAGGAAAUAGAUUGUUAACCGACUAUGGUUAACCAACUCUUCCUGUUGUUUGACGAGUACUAAAUCCAUGAUCCGGAAUCCGGCUCACUAUUUGCUUCUACAACGGGCAUUCUACUUACUCCCCUUCCCCUUAAUCCUCAUGUAACAUGGUGGAAAAUUACAUUUAUCAGGUAAUCCCCAUAAAGAUGGUUUGAGAAAGAAGCAGUGAGAGUGUCUUAGCCCAAGCUGCUGUAACAAAAUAUCACAGACAUUGAUUUUUUUUUUGGUCACAAUUCCAGAGCUGUAAGUCUGAGUUCAAAGUGUUAGCAGAUCUGGUUGCUGGUGAAAGGGCUCGCUUGGUGGUCGGUAGGCGGCUGCCAUCUUGCUGUAUGACGGAGAGAGAGCUCUGACCCCUUUCUCUUCAUAUAAGCAUAUUACUCCCAUCUGGGUGCCCCUGCCUCCUGACCUGAUCUAAACCUAACUGCCUCCCAAAGAUCCUACUUCCUAACAGCAACACACUGGCAGAUAAGUCUUCAACACCUGCCUCUGGGGACACACCAACAUGUAGUCUCUAACAUAGUGAGCAAAGAACCACACUUCUCAGGGGCUCAGAAAACUUCUGGAAGCUGCCUUUUCGGGAGUGAGGGAGAAGGAGGAAGCCUGGGCUGGCUCAGCUGCUGUCUGUGUCCUCGAGUGUGGUGUGGGGCAGGUGUGGGGGCUGAAGUCCCAUGGAGGUUUCCAGUAGGGAGACAGAGCCAAGAGUAACCCGGUGGUGAGAGAGGACAAGAUUGUAGCCUGCUCUCUCACAGGAACCACAGAGGGGAUGGGGAGUGACGUCCAUACUAGAGUCUGAGAAACUGAGAAUCACCGUGUAGAAUAUGGCAGCCGUCUGCCCUUCAAAGAAAGAUACACUAACGAUCUACUUUUUUUUUUCCCCGUUGAAGUUUCUAGAGGCAGGUGCACUAGCCUUCUUUCCAAGGACACUUGAAAAGAUGUAAUUUCUGUUUCAGGAUACAAAGCUUACUAUAUUAG
Long non-coding RNA from Lutra lutra (Eurasian river otter), 3400 nucleotides. RefSeq lists it as uncharacterized. The record is from RefSeq and is a predicted model, not a curated record. NCBI's taxonomy places the organism in Eukaryota, Metazoa, Chordata, Mammalia, Carnivora, Mustelidae. The transcript is spliced from 3 exons.